GUGCCAGCCGCCGCGGUACUACGUAGGGGGCGAGCGUUGUCCGGAUUCAUUGGGUGUAAAGCGCUUUAAGGCGGUUCGCUAAGUCGGGUGUGAAACCUCCAGGCUCAACCUGGAGACGCCACUCGAUACUGGCGUGACUAGAGUCCGGUAGGGGACCACGGAAUUCCUGGUGUAGCGGUGAAAUGCACAGAUAUCAGGAGGAACACCAGUGGCGAAGGCGGUGGUCUGGGCCGGAACUGACGCUGUAGAGCGAAAGCGUGGGGAGCGAACAGGAUUAGAUACCCUGGUAGUCCACGCCGUAAACGUUGGGCACUAGGUGUGGGGGGUUAUCAACGCCUUCCGUGCCGUAGCUAACGCAUUAAGUGCCCCGCCUGGGGAGUACGGCCGCAAGGCUAAA
RNAcentral lists this ribosomal RNA (397 nucleotides) under uncultured bacterium. RNAcentral describes it as "bacterial SSU rRNA". It matches the Rfam family "Bacterial small subunit ribosomal RNA", at positions 505 to 898 of the family's 1533-position model. The record is from RNAcentral.